This 1390-nucleotide ribosomal RNA is filed under the name Stutzerimonas stutzeri. RNAcentral describes it as "Pseudomonas stutzeri partial 16S ribosomal RNA". It matches the Rfam family "Bacterial small subunit ribosomal RNA". The record is from RNAcentral. Lineage: Bacteria; Pseudomonadati; Pseudomonadota; Gammaproteobacteria; Pseudomonadales; Pseudomonadaceae.
AAAAAUUUGCCAGAUUUGACCUCCGGUCACGCAUGGUAAUGUUACUUCUGUUCCGCGGCGGGGGAGGACUAAUGCCUACUUCUCUGCCUGGUAGUGGGGGAUAACUCGGGGAAACUCGAGCUAAUACCGAAAACGUACUACGGGAGAAAGCGGGGGAUCUUCCGACCUCGCGCUACCAGAUGAGCCUAGGUCGGAUUAGCUAGUUGGUGAGGUAAAGGCUCACCAAGGCGACGAUCCGUAGCUGGUCUGAGAGGAUGAUCAGCCACACUGGAACUGAGACACGGUCCAGACUCCUACGGGAGGCAGCAGUGGGGAAUAUUGGACAAGGGGCGAAAGCCUGAUCCAGCCAUGCCGCGUGUGUGAAGAAGGUCUUCGGAUUGUAAAGCACUUUAAGUUGGGAGGAAGGGCAGUAAGCUAAUACCUUGCUGUUUUGACGUUACCGACAGAAUAAGCACCGGCUAACUUCGUGCCAGCAGCCGCGGUAAUACGAAGGGUGCAAGCGUUAAUCGGAAUUACUGGGCGUAAAGCGCGCGUAGGUGGUUUGAUAAGUUGGAUGUGAAAGCCCCGGGCUCAACCUGGGAAUUGCAUCCAAAACUGUCUGGCUAGAGUAUGGCAGAGGGUGGUGGAAUUUCCUGUGUAGCGGUGAAAUGCGUAGAUAUAGGAAGGAACACCAGUGGCGAAGGCGACCACCUGGGCUAAUACUGACACUGAGGUGCAAAGCGUGGGGAGCAAACAGGAUUUAGAUCCCCUGGUAGUCCACGCCGUAAACGAUGUCGACUAGCCGUUGGGAUCCUUAGAUCUUAGUGGCGCAGCUAACGCAUUAAGUCGACCGCCUGGGGAGUACGGCCGCAAGGUUAAAACUCAAAUGAAUGACGGGGGCCCGCACAAGCGGUGGAGCAUGUGGUUUAAUUCGAAGCAACGCGAAGAACCUUACCAGGCCUUGACAUGCAGAGAACUUUCCAGAGAUGGAUUGGUGCCUUCGGGAACUCUGACACAGGUGCUGCAAGGCUGUCGUCAGCUCGGGUGGUGAGAUGUUGGGUUAAGUCCCGUAACGAGCGCAACCCUUGUCCUUAGUUACCAGCACGUUAAGGUGGGCCCUCUAGAGACUGCCGGUGACAAACCGGAGGAAGGUGGGGAUGACGUCAAGUCAUCAUGGCCCUUACGGCCUGGGCUACACACGUGCUACAAUGGUCGGUACAAAGGGUUGCCAAGCCGCGAGGUGGAGCUAAUCCCAUAAAACCGAUCGUAGUCCGGAUCGCAGUGGUGCAACUCGACUCGUGAAGUCGGUUCCACUUGUCUCGUAAUCAGAAUUCACGGUAAUACGUUCCCGGGCCUUUACCGCCCCGUCCCCCCCGCGCCACAAAACUUACUCGGGGACGGUACAGAGAAG